Molecule: long non-coding RNA, 381 nt
Filed under: Haliotis rufescens (red abalone)
Lineage: Eukaryota; Metazoa; Mollusca; Gastropoda; Lepetellida; Haliotidae
Description: uncharacterized LOC124113068
Source: RNAcentral
GUGUCAAACAUAUGUCAUUUCCUUCACACUUUGUAUACAUAAAAACUCGACCUCUACCAUCACAGGGCACUCUGAAGCAACUCCCGACUGAACAGGGCAAUCAUGCAAUUCUUCGCUCUCUCCGUGGUUCUGCUACUUCUUGGCGCAUGCUCAGUUGAAUCCGCCAGAAUAGAGAAACGUGUCACAUGUGACAUUCUGGCUCAGCUGAACAUAAUGGGCAACUCCGUUGGUAGCGCCGCCUGUGCAGCCCAUUGUCUGUGGAAGGGAUACAGGGGAGGCUCCUGUAACAGCCAAGAUGUCUGUGUCUGUCGCAGAUAGAUGACACAAAACUGAAACUGCACAUGCGCACCAAGGCGUAAUAAAAUCAAGAAGUUGCAUUAA